Long non-coding RNA from Tetranychus urticae (two-spotted spider mite), 954 nucleotides. RefSeq lists it as uncharacterized. The record is from RefSeq and is a predicted model, not a curated record. NCBI's taxonomy places the organism in Eukaryota, Metazoa, Arthropoda, Arachnida, Trombidiformes, Tetranychidae.
UGUCAACCAAUUUAGCUAAUUUACAUUAUUUUUUUUGUUUCUAUUGUUUUCUCUGCUUCCAUAUGUUAUCUGUUACCUGUUUGUUUGAUCCGUAAGGAUUUAUUAUGAAUAACUUUACCUACCCAGGAGCCAGUAGCGUGUUGAAGCCAAUCUUAUCUCAUGGUAAAUGAAAACUUAAUGGCAAAUCACACGCAGAGUAACCUUUCAACAUUUCAACAGAAAACUGUUCGCUUGAUGUUGCUUUAUUUUUGGCUGUUGUACUAAUAUGAGAGGAGUCACUCUUUUUUUUCAUGAAUCUCAAGUUAUUUCAAGUUAUCCCGACAAAAACUCGUUUACCAUUCACAGUUGUUGUUAUACUGUUGUCAACAAAUAACUAUCUGAUCAAGGUAAUUACAAGUGAAAUGCCAAAAUUGUAAGAGGAUAAAAAGCAAAUCAUCCUCGUUAAGGAGUAAUCAAACGAUAGAAGCAGAUUAUAUUAUGAUUGAGAUACCUGCUGUUAAUAGAUUCUGUACUUUUUUGCUUCUUACCUGAAUCAUUUCUAUUGCUGAAAGAAAAGUGGAAAAACAAAAUUUUAAAGAUUUCAACUUGAUAAUGGCUAAUAGCUGAAAGGAAUCAUUCAAUCUUCAUCUAAUUGUAUCAAUUGUGAAAUUGUAAAGAUGACCUCACAAUUGGAUGAUUUAUUUACAUCCACAUGGACUCCAAUUGAAUUCAAAUUAAUCAAAUUUCACUGAUUUUAAGCUUUUUUCAUUAGCGAUUCCAAUUAGGGUUAAUUUUAAAGCAAAAAGACAUAAAUCUAUCUAAAUGUAUUGAUUUACAAUUUGAUUAUUAAUUGUUUAUCUCAUGAUCAUUGACCUGUCAUUCAUCGAUUGUAAAUCUCAAAAUCGUAUUCAAUUGAACUGAAAAAUGUCUGUUUAUCUGCAACAAAAAUACACUCUAACACUUUGGUAAUCAAAA